GGGGGCGAUCGGCUUCGACGGGGUUUGGAGGUCAGGGAGUGCAUGCCGAGGUCCCAUUGGGCUCGUUAAACAAAUGGGAAAAACAUAGUUGCUAACACACCGUUAGCUCUCGCUGCCUAAGUGCAGUGACAUCAACCUUCCUUUGUCUGCGCGGGGGGAAGAUGCCAGAUAGCAGGCUGGCUCGCUUCAGUGCUUCAGGGGAGCGGGUAAGAUUUAUGAGGCUAGCAGAUGAUUCAACCUGUCUCUAGGUGGGAUUUAAUGCGAAUUUAAAAAGUAGAGACUAAGCAUGUAGUGGUCUUUGACUGAAUUUCUUCGGACGCGGGUUCGAUUCCCGCCGCCUCCACCA
RNAcentral lists this transfer-messenger RNA (346 nucleotides) under Nitrospira sp. It matches the Rfam family "transfer-messenger RNA". From Rfam's summary of the family: Bacterial tmRNA, also known as 10Sa RNA or SsrA, is named for its dual tRNA and mRNA-like properties. Its role is to liberate the mRNA from a stalled ribosome. RNAcentral also lists the same sequence under 3 other names. Lineage: Bacteria; Pseudomonadati; Nitrospirota; Nitrospiria; Nitrospirales; Nitrospiraceae. The record is from RNAcentral.